Molecule: ribosomal RNA, 393 nt
Filed under: Haemophilus sp.
Lineage: Bacteria; Pseudomonadati; Pseudomonadota; Gammaproteobacteria; Pasteurellales; Pasteurellaceae
Description: bacterial SSU rRNA
Rfam family: Bacterial small subunit ribosomal RNA
Source: RNAcentral
GACGCAGCAUGCCGCGUGAUGAGAGGCCUUCGGGUUGUAAAGUUCUUUCGGUAUUGAGGAAGGAGUGUAUGUUAAUAGCAUACAUUAUUGACGUUAAAUACAGAAGAAGCACCGGCUAACUCCGUGCCAGCAGCCGCGGUAAUACGGAGGGUGCGAGCGUUAAUCGGAAUAACUGGGCGUAAAGGGCACGCAGGCGGUUAUUUAAGUGAGGUGUGAAAGCCCCGGGCUUAACCUGGGAAUUGCAUUUCAGACUGGGUAACUAGAGUACUUUAGGGAGGGGUAGAAUUCCACGUGUAGCGGUGAAAUGCGUAGAGAUGUGGAGGAAUACCGAAGGCGAAGGCAGCCCCUUGGGAAUGUACUGACGCUCAUGUGCGAAAGCGUGGGGAGCAAACA